ACUGAGAAAGUGGGGACAACAGUAUUUCAUCAAAAAGAAGCUCAUUUCCUUCCAGGAGCAGACCACACAGAAAACAUGGACACGGAUUACUUUAUCAGGUCCUGCUGUCACCCAAAGGCUCAUCCCUGCAGAGCUCAGGGGUCUGGCUUCAUGACUCGGCUUUAAACGGACGCUCAGCUUUCCUAGGAAUAGCUAGCACUGCUUGGAAGUGAUUUAUGGAAACACUGCUGCAUCACCUCUGAUCUACCUAUGCUGCACUCAAGCAACAUAAUCUAAACUAGUUAUUUUCCAGAGUUAAACAUACAACUCCUGGCUGUCCCUUCAGGAGCAUAAUGUGGCUGAUCCUGUGGCUGAUUCAACGAGGUGUACACCAGCUCAUACAGGACAGCCUAGAGGUCUGAAGGGUCAAGGCAACUAUUCAGGCAAAGUUUGUAAAAUGUGGCUACUGAGGACAUGAACCAAACACAGCUAAGAAGCUGAGAACAAGAUCUUCCAUUGAAGCACACUAUAGAAGUGAAGGGUGAAUUGGCACCAUAAGCAAUCUUAACUUGCAGCAGCAAAAAUCAAGAAUGUGUUGUGUGUAGGAAAGUUAAUGAAAAGACAUGCUAGUUUUGUGAACGUUACUCUCCUUCCUUGUUAAUUCUCGGGUUCUAAUUAAACAAUUCCUAGUCUUGCUUGUACACAUCAUGGUUUCCAAAUUAAAUGUAUAUUGUGCUCUAAAAGUAAGGACAUAAGUCCAUCCUCUUACUGGAACUGUGAACUGUUAGUAUGAAACAAGGUGUGCAUAGAGCGCUAAAGUAUAUUGCCACAAAGUGAAGUAUGCAGCAUACUGUAAAGACAACAGCUCUGCAUUCAUCCAAGGGGCAAACCUCAAACAUUGUGUAUUUGUUUAAAAUAUUAAUUCUCAAGUUUCAUUUUUAAUAACUUCACUUACGGAAAGGGGAGAAUGACUGCCAUAAAUUGUGAAAUACAGGAGUACUAAGAGGGAACUGAAUGUGCCAGCUGGGGAUAUACAAAGGAGGGAAUGAGUCAUAUAACUUCUGGGUAUUGCCAGUCGUUUGGAAAGGGGUCGUCCUGACUGGGCAGGACUGCAAUUAUUAAAAUUGAUGUAACAAGCAUUUAUUCCUGGGCUGAAAGAACAAAUGAUCUGCUAGCAGAUUAUAAUGAUCACAAAUGAUCUGCUAGCAAUGCUGUGUUAAAGGUUCUGUCAGCAAUGAUAUUACAGGGAUUUAUAAUACAGAACGAAAAUAGUGCAUCCUGGUCACUAAAAUAACUCCAGAGCCAGAGUUUGUAUCAAGUUAUCAUAACUAAGCAGCUGACUAAUGUCCACAAAAAUAUCUGUAUGCAUGGGAGUCAUCUCUGUGCACGCUGGUUGGGCAAUUGCUUGUGUAGGGUGGGUUUUUUCUUCUAAACAUCUCUGUAGAAUGUAUAGGCACCUCAGUAUGUGAAAAAGCAUUUCAGUGUUUAGGUGCUCUAAACAAACAUAUGAACAUCAUUGCAUACCUGUGAAUGUUUUUUAGGCCAAAGCAAGCCAUUAGACUGCAAAAAGGCUGUAAAGAAAUUCACAUUCUUAUGGUUGAGUAAGAAGUUAAUCUAGCACUUCACAAUAAAUCCCUGUAACAGAAAUGCUGACAGUACUUUAAAUGUAAUAGUAUUAAGAGACAUUUACAAGGACAUUUUCUUAGUCAGCUGCUUGUGAUUGAAAAUGUGCUUCCAUAAGAUAUUUGAAAAAUAAAUAUAUUUCACUUUGGUUACAAUUAAAAUUUUGGAUUCU
Molecule: long non-coding RNA, 1774 nt
Organism: Gallus gallus (chicken)
Lineage: Eukaryota; Metazoa; Chordata; Aves; Galliformes; Phasianidae
Source: Ensembl